RNAcentral lists this non-coding RNA (113 nucleotides) under Klebsiella michiganensis. RNAcentral describes it as "Magnesium Sensor". It matches the Rfam family "Magnesium riboswitch aptamer (Magnesium responsive RNA element)". From Rfam's summary of the family: The Magnesium sensor RNA element is a cis-regulatory element that regulates the expression of the magnesium transporter protein MgtA. The record is from RNAcentral. Lineage: Bacteria; Pseudomonadati; Pseudomonadota; Gammaproteobacteria; Enterobacterales; Enterobacteriaceae.
UUACCGGAGAUUUUAUGGACCCCGAUCCCACUCCUCAUCCUCGAUGGAGCCCCCUUAUUUUCCGGUAAAUCUGCGUAGCGCUGCUUUACCGGAAGCGUAAAGCAGCGAUGUCU